RNAcentral lists this long non-coding RNA (14831 nucleotides) under Xyrichtys novacula (pearly razorfish). The record is from RNAcentral. Lineage: Eukaryota; Metazoa; Chordata; Actinopteri; Labriformes; Labridae.
UUAGGGUUAGGGUUAAACAAAUGUUUUUAAAAAACAGCUGAUCAAAACAGAGGGUAUUUUUAACCCAAAGCAGACAUCUAUCCCCUCAUUUUAAGUGGCAUUAAACAAUGCAGUUAUGGUAGAAAUUGAUUUAAGUAGGUUUUUUAAUUGCCUGCUAACGGCCAGGCUUUGUGAGUUGUUUCAGAUAUGAAGUGAUUAACUCUGAUUGGUCAGUGUUAUUUUGCUUCAAAUUUUUUGCUCCUCCUGGCUUCCUUUUUAAGUUGAAAAUAUUACCUUAUCAUAUAGUUGAAAUGUACAGAAAGAGAUGUGUGCAUGACAUAAAAAUACAAUCCAUAGUUUAUAAAAGCUUGUAUAAAAAAAUACGCCAGUAGGCCAUCUCAUCUACCCACCACCUUAGCCUGCAUGUCUGAAAGUUAGUUUCGGACCCUAGUGAUAGUUUAUCCCUGAUUGUUAUGUCUGCUUUUGUAGGUCAUACCAAGGCAUCAAUGUUAAUUUGAGUGUUUCAAAACAAAGCUAAAACUCCUUACUGAAGCUUUAACAGUGGGUCCCUAAGGCUUUGUUAUUGUUGUUAUCUGCCUGAUGCCUUAAAACAACAUCAAACUAUUAUAGGUGAAGGCAGAAAACUUAAAAAAUGAGAUUAUUUUUUGAAGGUCCAUAAUGAUGAGUCACUUAUUUAUCACAUUUAAAUUUCUUAAUGCCAUUUAACCCUCAUGGAAAUAUUAACUGCAUCUAUUUCAACUCAGCAGCAAUCAUUUCAUCUGUUCGGUUUACGUCUUCUCAGGUCUGACUGACUGCAAAAAUAGCAGCAUUCAAAACUAAAGAGAUAAAAACUAUUUUAUCUUUUUGAGACUCUGAGAGGUCGCAGAGAAACCAACUCCAGUUUGAAGGAAUCACACACUCAGGCGUUUCAUGUUUCCUCUCAAGACUCCACCACCAAAGUACUUUCAGAUCCAGGACAAACAUGACUGCUAGUGCUGAUGCUGAUGAUGUAGACAGCUGUAAUGAUGAUAGUUAUUUUCAUCACACACCCCAUUAUCAAGGCUGCAGGGCUGUAAGGUCAACUCCUCCACCAUCAGAGCUCCACACACGCAUCUUAAGAUGCCAUGAAAUGACCAGAGCGUGUCAUCCCACCGCCCUGCUAACCAAUGAAGUUUACCCUCGCUUCACAGCUUCCUCAUCACACCACGCUCCGUCAGCCGGGCCAACACUCUCUACAGCCUGACCACUUGAAAUUGCAGUUUCCACCACUAGAGAUGUGACUCAGAAAGUGUCAGUCUUAACAGCCAAUAUGACAAGGAGCUGACUUUAAGGGCUGGAGCUUAUCCUCCAGUCAUGCGCCACACUAAAAAGUCAGACUCCAGCUCUGACUUUCCUGUUCUGUGGAUACACUGUGUGGUUCUGCUUCCUCCCCCCUCUAUAAUAAAACUCAUUAUGUAUCCAGUCAGUUGCUGAAUUCAAAUCACCUCACAGAGCGACACGCUGUGUGGUGAAUAAAGUCAGAAGUCACCUCAUGCCAAAUGAGGGGACGCUCUCGUGGCUGAUGGAAACGCUUUCUCUGCCAUCUGUCUGCAGUCCUUGCCACCAGUUCUGGCGCAGCAGAGCAAAUAAAUAGAGGCAUCCUCAGACAUCUCAUCACUCUAACCUGGCAACACGAAUUUGAAUCCAUCAUCUCUGAACAGACACUAUGAUUUCUGGCUGCUGAGCAGUUUAUUUUUGUUGUUGGGUAUUUUAGAAUUAGACCUUAUUUUGGUGAACAGAUGGCAGACUAAAUCCUGUUGAAUCCCAGUCUUGAAAAUGUCAUUUAGACAGAGCCCAGAACUCUCCUGAACUGUGACUUCUGGAAUCUAUUGAUCACAGAAAUGUGGAUUUAUUUAAUCCUCAUUUUUCACUGACUUUACUGAUAAAUGGCAAAGAGAGGGGUUUUUUUUAUACACCAGGCUGAAAAGCAGAGUAUGACUCACCACUUUGGAGGAGAGUUUGGAGCUCAUUUCACCUCUGACUUCUUUCACUGACAGGUGUGUGAUAGGAGAGAGCUUUGUGUCACCUGUAACCGCACCAGUGAUGGAGCACAUCUGUUAUCACUAUCUGAAGGCUGAAUGAUGCUAAAUGAGGUUUUUAAAAAUAAGGAAAACUGCUAAUCUGAGCGCUUAUUCACAGAUUUUACACAUUGCUGAUCUGAACAUAUUACAAGUGGUUCAGAAAAUACAUGUGAAAAUCUCAACUGCUGCGAGACUUCGUUCUAUUAACUCAACUAACACUGGAAACUUGUAUUGUCCUUGUGUUAUUUGUUCAAGAAACAAGUUCCGGUAACACAUUACAAUAACCAUAACUUAUAAAUGGUAAAUAGACCAUUCAUAAACGGUAAGCUGAUAGUUUAUAAAUGUUUAAUUAUCAUUUAUAAAUAGCAUAUAGACCAUUCAUACAUUGUAAACUGUACAAUUUUAAAAACCUAAUCCUAACUUUACAAUAACCAUCUAAGUAAUGUUUAUAGGUGGUUUAUAAACCAUUUAAUUAUCAUUUACAAAGUAUUACAAACAUCAGUUGCAACUUUACAAUAACCGUCUAAGAAAUGUUCAUAGAUGGUUUAAAAACCAAGUAUUAACCAUUUACAAAGUGCUACUGACACACAUUUUAAUCUAGAUGUUUUACAACCAGUAUUUAAACCCUAUAUAAACCUUUAAUAUAUACUCCAUUAAUAAUUAAUGAAAAUGAUUAAUCAUAAUUUCAUUGCUUAAAGUAACUAUUACCUUACAUUAAUAAACUAUCUAUUUGCCAUUUAUGAUUGGUCUAUAUGCUGUUUUUCUUAAUGAUGAUUAAACAUUCAGUAACUAUCUAUUUACCAUUUAUAAAUUAUGGUUAUUGUAAAGUGGGCGGCACAGUGGUGUAGUGGUUAGUGCUGUUGCCGCACAUCAAGAAGGUCCUGGGUUCGAAUCUGGAUUAGGGUGUUUCUGUGUGGAGUUUGCAUGUUCUCCCUGUUACUGUGUGGGUUUACUCUGGUUACUCCGGUUUCCUUCCACAUCCCAAAACAUGCAGAAGUGGGGCUAGGUUGAUUGGCCACUUUCAAAUUGCACAUAGGUGUGAAUGUGAGCGUGGAUGGUUUUUUGUCUCUAUAUGUCAGCCCUGCGACUUGUCCAGGGUGUCCCCUGCCUUUGCCCGAAGAUGCUGGGAUAGGCUCCAGCAACCCCAGGAACGGGAUUAAGCAGUAGAAAAUGGAUGGAUCAAUUUAUUGUAAAGUGCUUCCCAAGUUCCUAACUUCCUAUAAGAGCUCACGAUGAAAAGUUAACAAGUCUAAAGUCAGAAACUAUUUUUUCCCGUCAUCAGUAUUUGUUAACUCAGAAUCUGAGCCUGAACAUGUUUGAGCCGGAGAGGACUCAAUCAAUAGAGACUGAUUUUGAAAUAUGGCUGCAGCACGGACUGAAAGCGAGCCUGCCCCAUCCUUUGAUAAUCCUCAGGGGGUUUAUGAGCAAAUCUGACGCUGAUUCUUGGUUAUCUCCGUCUUCCCGUCCUUUCGAUCCAGCCCUGCUAUUUAUCUGCCUAUCUGAGUGCUACACAUAAAUCGCUUUCAAACACCAGCAGCCUCAAAGAGCCAGACAGAGGGCUGCUUUUGAUCCCAGAUGUCAUUGAGACUUUUUUUUGCAGCUUUGGGGGUGGCAUUUUGAAGGCUAUGAAAGAGGAACAUAGCUUCGGUCAGCAGAUGGGGGAAAUGGGGGAAAUGUCACCGAUAAGCACUGACUCUCAGGAGUCUUAUGUAACACUGUACGUUACUGUCACCGGGGACGAAUUAUGACCUUAUAUAGAGAUUGCUGAGAUAGUUUAAGUCAAAAUAGAAAACACACAAUGAAGUGUCCUUGAGCGAAAGACUUUCCUUUUUUUAGCAGGUUUCUCCUCUGUAGUUCAACCAACAAGAGAUCCUCUUUCAUUUCCUCUGUUUGUUUUACAAAGUUUAUAGCCAGAAUCUGCAGUCUUUAGCUUUUCAUUCGUCAUGUAUUGCAAACUGCUGGUUUCAUGGGAGAUAUAUUUUUGGUAUCAUCAGGCCUGGUUGUUUAUAUACGAAAUGUUUAUCUUUAUUUUCUGUAAAAAACGAUGAACAUGUUGAUUUUCUCUCAUGGCUUUGGAAGCAAACAUCGAUUUGUUUGUGUGAUUCAUAAAUAUUAUGUUAAUUUUGUUUAUCUGUUAUUUUAUACAUGUGCUGCUCAAGACAGAGUGUACCCGAGUAAAAGGAGAUGAACACAAAAGCAGAGCUUAUAUAAGCAGGUUCAGUCACUGUUUCAUCUUUAUUGUGUUUUUAAAGGCUGAUUUAUUUGCCCAAUGCUUUCAAGUCUGCUGUAUCAAGUAGUCAUCCUUUCUCAGCUUUGGAAACAUUACCUCUUGUUCUGCUCAUAAAAGUCGAAAGUCCAUGCAACAAAUACUGGAGAUCAGAUAGAGGAAAUGCAACAGUGAAGAUGUAAAUCUAUACGGGAUAAGUGCAGCCGAAGAGCGAUGCUGUUUGUCUUGGUGAGCAUGCACAAGGUCAAAGGGUUUCCAUAAUGGGAGACCCGCACGGCUGAUUUACUGCAGCGCACACAAAUGAGGAGUGAUCACGCCUGAACCAUGAAGACUUGGAGUGUUUCCCAGCAUCUCUUCGAGCGCUCCUUCAGGCUGGGUCAUCCACCAGUUCCUCUGAGCUGUGACAUGCUCUCAAGCAGAAGUGUGGUCAGUUUUUUUUUUUUUUUUUUACUGCAAGAGUCACGGGGCCACUGUGGAGCGAAUGCAAUGAAAGGGGUAAUGUUAUGUACAGGCACAGAUUCAUCUGGACAACAGCGGAGAAAGGCCGUCUGUUUUUCUUGAUACAUCACACGCUCUGUCGUGACAUCCAAAUAAGAGAAGCUCAUACAUAUCACAUUAGAGCAGUCGCCUCUGGAGGCCCGUCCAGUUAUCUGGGUGAGCUCCUCUGGCGCCGAGUGAUGUCGAUUGGAAAUGAGAGUGCGUCGCCGGCUACUAGGCAACUGCAACUUAGCGCGAAUUAGCAACAAUGCAAGAUAAGUUCUCAAUCUCCACUAAUAUUAAUCAGCCUCAUCUUUGUUAUGUAAAUAUGGAGAUUGAAUUUGAAGGUAAUGAAGAGUGAGGCAGCUCCUUCUUCCUAAAGGAUGUGUUUCUUGAAUCUGACAUCAAAGCCAAACAGCUCUUUCAGCUGCCAAAGAAAAUUAAUGAUGCUUUUUUUAACGCUGUCACUCAAUCUUUUCGACAUGAUGACUCCGGAAAAACGCUCAAAAAACUGUGUUGGGCCUCACGCUGACUCACAUCAAUCCGAAGGAGAAAACAAUGCGAACGAUACAAAGCGAUGGAGAACAACAAAAGAUGUUCCAGUGUGGGUUUUCUCGAGGUGGUUGAGGGAGGCCUCGGUGUGUGGAUGUGGCAGAGAGGCAGAGUGUGGGCUUCUUUUCACACGUUUUCUCUCCACAGGCUCACAAGUGACAGCUGAGGAAAGACACCAAUGUGUCUCCUUCCCUCACCGUUAGCGUCCUCUGCCGCGGGCAAAUGUCAGUCAAAGACGUCAUCCUCGUGUUUGGCCUUUGAAUGCAUCAUCUGUAUCCCCUUCAUCUCCGGUCUCUUUGUUUGUUAAGUAUCAUCCUUUUUGAGUUGUUGUUCUGUUGCAUCAUAUUAUGCAAGAUUUAUGUUUCUUUGGGUUCAAGUUAUUUUGAUUUUUUUUAAUGAUUAGUCGACAGCGUUCACUAACAGGCCUUGUAAGUGCUUUCAGACACUAUUUUUACAGCACCAUCCAGUUAGGGGUGAUGGUAAAUGGUUUCACAGGGACGGGAAAGGAGGAGGGGGUUGUUAACCCUGUGUAGUAUGUUGACAUGCUGCAGGUGGUGGCCUGUUGAAUGUCCAGCUGAGCCAGGAAUGUGGAGGCCCUUUGGGUGCAAGCUGGGGAGGGUUUUCCUAAAGAGCAAAUGCAGCUACUAUGUGCGUAUUGAAAGGAUGACUAAGCUUUUAGAUAUUGUUUAGAGCAUUAAAGCACCAUAAAAGGCCUCAGAGCUUUCAACUGCAUGGUAAAAAUACUGCCUGGUCUUUGGGUCAUGAUGAGGGGUGUUUAGUUCAGUGACAGCCUGGGGAUUAGCAUAAUGGCAGCAAGCUAAGCUACACCAUCGGAGGACCCUUUCUCUUUAGGCCCUGGGGGUCUUCAACUGAUUUAUUGCUGUCCCCCCUGACUGCCUGCAUCUAUCUUUAGCUGUGCAGACUUUUAUGAGCUGGCUGAAGCGAAGGCUUGCUGUGGCACUGUUGUCAGUGCUCACCACAGACGCUGUGACUGACCUCCUCUGCGGCUCGUGCUUCCACAGGUUGUGCGGAGCUCAGUUUGCAGGGAACCCUGCAGAGAUUGGCAUGUGUCAGAGGAAUUCAGGGGUCUAGUAGCUGUUGUUUUUAAGACUCCUGACUGCUACUGUCUUCUAGCUUCCCAGCAGUGGAAUCUAGAUUUACUCAACUGCCAAAUUUAAGCACAAAGAGUUUCCACCUCAUCAUAAAUCAAUCCCCAUUAUGGUCAGUGGGGAUUUCGCUUAAUUUUUUAUUUAUUUGACUGCAAAUCUAACAUUCGAAGCAUUUGAUGAUAAUAGCGAUGAAAUGUCAUACAUUCACUUUCUUCAAAGUGUGUCAAAUAGAGCUGAAAUGAUUACUGAUUGCAGAGCUGCCAAGCAUCACGCUUCGAGUGUGACAGUCAUGCAAUUUUAUCCAUUCUCACACCACUCGCCACACUUGACUUUUCUCAUGCUUAUUUUCCCCAUUCAAUACUCUGUAUUUAUUUUUUUCAUGAUAAUAAACUUCGUAGUUUGAGUAACUCUGAUUGACUGACCAAGAUAAUCAAUCCCAGAACAAUCCAUCAGUCCUUUGUGCCUAAUGCUGCGUUCGAGUUACCUCGGAAGUCAGAUGUCGGAACUGAAAAUGACGUCAUACCCAAGUUACCAGCGUUCCAGUUACCAAGUCAGAAAAAUGAAAAAUCGAAGGCCUGACACAAGGUAGCUACGACUACAAAAGUUACCUUAGUGCUUGCCUUAUAUCUGGACAAGGCAAGCGCUAAAAACACUUUUGUAGAUGUAGCCAUCUUAUUACUGCCUUCUCUUUUGCUUUUUUCUGACUUUGUAACUGAAACGCUGAGGGUUUUUUGGGGUCUUGGCGUCUCUAACCAUCUUUCACACACAACAGUGUCGACAUUUAAAACCCAAAAUUCUUGUUACAAUUUUUAUUUCUAAUUUCUGGAUCUUAAUUAAGAUCAGGGAGAGCAGCUGGCACGGAGGUGAGGACAUCAGUCUCAGUAUAAAUCAACGUUAAAAACGGCAAAAAAAAAAUUUGUUGCAUGGCUGAACACAUCAUAACGCAAAAGUGUCACUCUUGUAAUUUUCUGAAACUUGGCAGCCCUGUGAUUGGCAGGAACUGAACCAAUACUGAUAGAACUCUAAAUCUAUUCUUACCCAGUUAUGUUUGAAGGAAAACAUAUGAUCAGUAUAAUCCAUUAGAUGCAGCCUUUUGGCCCCUCACCCCAGUCCUAAUUGUGAGGAAAUGGCUCCAUGCUGACCUAUGAAAACAGUUAUAUGCAGCUUACUCAUAGAUGCAUCAUCAUCAGCGCCUCAUAGAGGUCAUUAAUGCGCAUAAACUCUCAGUUUUGAUUCCGACCGAAGUAUAAGAUCUAAAUUUAACUUAUGAUCAAACCUUUUUUUAUGCUAAUCACAGAAAAAGCUGGAGGUUGUUAACGGCUGAUGAUGCAGUGCUUGAGUAAUAAGAGGAAAUCUCUGCUUUUAAGCUCAGGUUAGGUCACUGUUGGAUUAAUAACUACACUGAAAAUACACUCUGGCAGCUUUGAAGUGGGGGAUAAAACGUUUUCAGUGGCAGACAAAACCUUUUACCUCACUGAAGUGGUGCGACAAUUGCUUUAAGCCCCGCGAUUGGUCAGAACAUCAGCACUCCUCCUUUUCAUUGACUGACUACAAUACACAGAGUGACGGAAGAUAAUUGGACCAUGUUUGUUCAACUGUGAUGUUGGUAUAGUAUUAGUAAACUUAAAUUAGCUUCAGUUUGAUCAUUUCUAUUGAUAUGAAGUUUGUCUUUUUACUAAUCGUAUCAGUGAGCAGUACAGGCUGGAUGAAAGUAAUAGUGUUUAGUCUAGAUAUUCUUAUCUAGAAUCUCAACCAGUAAGUGAAAAACUUUUAAAAUUAAUAAACUUUUGUUUCCCAAGUUUUUACUUGUUGUUCUUUAAAUAUCUUUCCUUGUUUAAACUACUUUAAUAUUUAUUUUUUUCUCUCAUUACUAUUCCAUGUUUAGUUGUUGUGUAUAUGUCCCUUAGUGUAAAUGUUUCCCCACUGUCUCUUUGCAAGUUAUUAAACCUAGAGUUUCAAUGACAUUUUCAAUGCCUGCCUUUUAUUUUGAUGGGGGAGGGGAAACAUACAGACUAAUUUACAGUUUGUAAACUAUGAUGCUGUACUGGACUUAAGGGUUAUGGGCUUUUGACCAAUCAGAAUAAAGUAUUUUGGUAAUACUAUAUGUUUUAAUCGAUGUGAAUGUUCUUUUUACAUUUACAAUCAUGUAUAGUUUUAGGAUCACUUAACCAUUCGGGCAUGUUAUUGAUGAAGAUAAAACACUUUUUGUAGGUCCAGAGUCCCUCAAGUAAACUCAUCAAUCUUAUCACAUUUAUCAGAAGAGGAACAACAACAACAAGAAAAAGAAAAUAUUUAUUGAUCCCCUAAAGAGAAAUUCAAUACUUUAUUACUAUUUUUGUUAAACAGUUGUGAAAAUUUCACCCUAAAACAGUCUGCAUGCUUAGCUCAUCUAGCAAUGAACAUUAUAAAUCAUGUUGGUUUAUAAAUGCUGUAAUGCAUGACAUUGCUUUGCAUGUAUCCCCAUUUUGUAUCCCCAAGUAGUAGUGCAACUUUUCUUCAAAAGAUGUCACAACUCCAAAUAACUUAGAGUUAAUAAGGGCCAAGCAAACACAACAGAUCUGAGGUUUCCUCUAUAGAAUCAAUAGCUGUACGGGAAAGCUUUGUGCACACUCACAGAUUUAUCUCCCCCAAACACAAGUCUGGCACACAGCCUCCAUAUGGUGUGUUUUACACUGUGGGAGGAACGUGCUUUCUCAAACUUGCUUCCAUUAAACACAUUCCUCUCAAACAGCCUGAUAACGGCAUGCUAGCAGGUCCCAGCUCUCUAGUUAUGUGACUCAUCACUCAGGUGUGUUUACAGCUUAUUACACAAAAAGAAGCAGAAGAGCUCCUCCGGAGACAUAUUACCACGUUUGGAACUGGAAAAAAAAAAAGCCAAAUCGACACGUCCUCUCACAAAGUUAGUUAUUCAGCGCAAAUGUGUCACGGGUGAUGACCUUUCAAAACAUGAGCUUUUGCUAGCACAAACAUGCGGGUAAAGCAGCAGGGACCGAGAGAACGAGGCUGUGUUUACGCAUGUGUUAGACUGAGAAGUGGGGUCAUUUCAUCUCCCACAGAACCAACAAUUACAUCCCACCUCAAGCAGUAUAUGAGUUUGUUGCUUUAGUGCAGCUGGGGAGGAAAGACGGCUAUUUGUUGUCUGAGAGGCUGAGAGAUGAGAGGGAUUCUCCACAGCUUACAUAACCUGUCUCUCUCCAUUCAAAGCAGGAAGGCCUUUGUCCAUUACGCCAGAUGGAUAUCAACCCUUAUUUAUUACUGAUAUGAACACUAGAUUUGACGCAAAGCAGCAAAAACAACCAGAAAACCUAACUGCAAAGAACAGAUAUCUACUUUUACACUCUAAGUUAGAAAACAUCACAUUCCUCAGUGCAAGUAAAAUAAACACACCCAGGAAGAAAAAAGAGAAGUGCAGACUUUUUUAGUCAUGACAACAUUACAGCUGUUGAGUUACUGCACCUUGAUGGCACAGUGUUAGACAGCUGUGAACGGCUGCGGUGUGAAAAGAGACGCCUCUAUUCCACCUGAGAAAUUAGCACAGGGGUUGGUGGAGAAUAGCAGAGUCUCAAUUUCCUCCAUGAAAUGAGUUGAUAUAUGAGAGAUCUGGAGAGGAUUUGGUGAAAUGACAAGCAGAGAAAUAACAUCACGAAACAAUAGCUGUCUUUUUUUCUACUCGGGGUGUUAACUCAAACACCUCAGAGCCUUUUUUUCAUGAUCUGAUGACAUUAAAGUGAAAAAAAAACCUCUCCUGUCUUUCAGUUUACAAAACAGAAAUUGUACAGCCGAACCCAGCAGGGGGGAGUGUUUGCUUUCUACCCUGUCUCUGCCUUCCCUGUCCUCUUUCUAACAUUUCUCUUUUACAGUUUUUUUUCUUUCUCUCUCUCUUCCCAUGAGGAUAAGCUGGGCGGUGACAGAUGUAAUGGAAGAGGCUGGUUCUUGGAUUUUGUAGCAAUCUGUCGAGCCUCUCUGGAGGUUCACAGGCUGAACUUGACAAAACACGACUAAGGGCUGCCCACUUGAUAACCCUAGUGAUGUUUUGGCUUUUGCUGCUCGUCUAUACUCAUGUUCAGAGUGUGGAGGAGGAGCCUAUGUGGUUGGGUAGGUCCUAACAGCUUUGUCAGUUCCUGGAGCUCCGAGAAGGUGGGGAGGUGUGGCCACAGACUUGUACCUUAAAGGGAUAUUCCGAGGUAAAAUUAAGUUAGCGUCAAACACACCGUAACACCAAGUUAGACACCCCCUCGAGAGAUGAAUGUUGCCGACUGCUUGCUUAUAGUUAUACCAACUUUUGUAACGACCGUACGAUAGCAAUAUACAGCGGUCUCAGGAGCCACACGCUCAACCAAAAUGCCACUCUAUAGCCACAAAUAAUGCUCAGAACAGCACCUAACUUCAUCAACAGUACAUACAGGGUCCCAGCCAUAGCACUACCCACCAAACAUCUUUUUAUCUUUGCCUGAUUUCUUUAGCAAAGAGACUAAACACAACUCACCCACUCUCUUCCAGCAGCCACUUGUUUGUAUGGAGACCUCAGACAAGUCCAUUACAGACUGCCGAGUGGGGUGACGCAGCUCAAGGAAGAACAUAUAUGAUCAUUACUUUGUCAUUUCCUUAAAGCUAUAAUCACCAUAUUUAUCAUUUUGUACUGCAGACACGGUAGUUCUUCUGCCUACUAGAGAAACAAGCAGUCAGCAACAUUCGUCUCUUGACGGGUGUCUAACUUGGUGUUAUGGUGUGUUUGAUCCUAACUUAAUUUUACCCCGUAAUAUCCCUUUAAUGUCUGACUGUGUGUGUAUGUAGAGCUGUGUAUUUACAAGCUGUUUCUCUUGCACUUAUGCAAUAACAUAAUGCAAAUUGAAAUCUACUUAUUAAUGAAUGAAUUAAGCCAAGUUACAUUUCCAAAACAGCAUGUCUUAAUUUGAAGUCUUUAUUGUGUCUGUAACAAUUUUUCUUCACAGAUACAUGUCGUUAUAUUGAUAACUGAGAUUGUCAAUUUGCCACAGCUUUCUUUCUUUGUUAUGAGCUCUCUGGGCUACCGUACGUGACUGUGGUCGUUAACAAUGUUUCUCACACAGCACACCUGGAAGAUGACGGCAAAGCAGCAUUCCAGGCUAUGACCCCUGACCUUCUGUUCACCUCACAGACACAUGUCUUGUAAGUGUAACACAUUCAGGGGCUUUUUUUCACCCUCACUGUCAGCUCGUCUUUGGAUCACAGUGCAGCACUUUCAUUCUGGCUCUUCAGUCUAAGCAGCCCAAAAAUGCUGAAAGACUGGGCCCACUGACCGAUUUUUGGCUUGUUGAUGGAUUGAAAUCGACAGCAAAUUUGUAAAAAUGUAAAAGAUAUAAAGGCUUUUUAAAUGGAUUGUCUAAUUGUUUUGACUGGUGGUUGGAAAGAAAUCUAGAGAUCUAUUGAGAGGCGAAGCAAAUCGUACUGGUUGGAUAACAAAGACGAGGAGAGUGGGUGAAAGGAUUUGUUGUAAAAGAAAUUUCUGAUCAUUAAAACUUGACAAAUGAAGGAUCACUUUUCAUGCAUCAUAGCAGCUUGUUUUAUUUGAAGGCCACUGUCACUUCACUGACAGGAAAGUGAGCAGGAGAGCGUUUCAAUCCAGGAACUGUCAGCUUCUUCCUGUUAAAUGCAACUUUAAAUCAAAGAGAAGCUGAUGGGAGCAAUAAAAACUAAGAUACUUUAAAGGACACAUCACAUUGGGGGUCUUGCUCCAACCUGCCUGAAUACCAUUCUGCUAGAAUAAUAUCCUCACCAUACAUCAUCCCUGUAAUACUCAGCUGCUGUCUUUGUAGGUUAUAUUUUCAGGCUUUUAUGCUUUUACUCAAAGUUAACUAGACGGUGGAGCGAGCAGGAAACCAGGUGAGAGGGUGAAAAUUAAUAUCCUGAAAGAAUCUGCAGAUUAGAAUCAGAGCCUGGUCACCUGCUUGGAAACAGCCUCUGUGCAAUAUUACUCUACUACUUGGCCGUAACAGUGCUUCAAUAGUUUGCUGUUAAAUACUCAAUCCUGAUUGGUCAAACUCCACUAAAACUGUGAUUAAUUCUUAAUUAACAAAAACAACAUCAGGACAACAUCCAUCUUAAUAAUUCAAUAUGCUGACCACAGAUGGCACAGAUCCUGAGGGGCUGCAGGGUCCUAGCAAUCUCUGAAACGUAGAGCAAGAUCCUGUCCUGCAAUCCAGGCAAUGGCAGCAGAGCCAAUGAGUGCAUUUCCAACUUGCAAACCACCUGUUCUGUUAACGAAAUCCCUCACUUGCUGUUUUACUUCAGUUUUUUGAAUGCAAGUCUGACAUGCAAGUUUGUGCUGUUUCAGAGGAGAGAAAGAAAACAUAACCUUUACACAUACUGCCUAACUUACAGUUGUUCUUUAACUUGCCUCAACAGUUAUAAAAGUUAAACUACAAACAAACCAAAUGUACAAAUAUGCUAAAAGUGCUUCAAAUUAUCAAGAGUGGGUUGUAGGACUCAUUAGAAUAGGAUAGUAUUUCUGCAGGUUUGUUACGUGACACAUUCUCUAAACUGAGAAACCAAUAGUGGCCAUGGUCAUCCUAAAUCCUAAACCAUGAUUGGCUAUUUGUUUAUCAGAGGAGGCCCUGCUUCAACAAGCUGCAAGUAUCUCCUGAUGUUCACAACACCUGGUCACCCAAAGGAAGUCAGCGCCCCAUUUUUGCCUCCUUGUCUCCACCUCAAACUUUAAACCGAAAGACUCAAGAAAAGAUUCAUCAAGAGUGAAUUAAUUGUAUGUCACGGCCGGGAUAUUGUUAGAAAAAAAGUUGAAAUACACCCACCCUAACCAUCUGAUUUUGACCGACUAAUGUAGGGAGGAAGGAAGUAUCAUUACUGCGUUUGCUAAGUCAAUUUCCUGAGCUCUUCUUCUAUCCGUCUCCAGUGUGAGCUGUGUGAUGAAUCUACAGCUCUGGAUAUGAUAUCAUGUUACAAUGUGAGACUACAUCGAUGUGAUGUGAAGUCUGUGUAUUGAUACCGCUGCUCAAGCGCAGGAUUAGCUGUGAGUUUUUUUUAUGAGACCGGAGAGGCUCAGAAAUAGAUUGCCUCUGGCCAAAAGCACUCACUCUCUCUCUCUCUCUCUUUCGUCCCUGUGCUGCCUCUCGGUCUUGCACCUCCCAGCACUCAUUCACAGCUCUCUUGGGACGGCAGGCCCAGGCAGGCGGCCAGCUGGUGAUGUCUCACUGGGACGGCGGCAGAGAAAAGGAGAGCACAGUCAGAUGUGGUAUCAAAGACAUCAGGGGCUCAAGGGUGGACGGUCUCCAGAGGCAUUGCGACAUACCUCCCCUGUUACUGCACUUACAGAAGCCCCCCUCUCAGGUUUCCAUAAGGGUCAUGCUUGUGUCUGCUGUGAUUGUAGCUUUAUGAAUGGUUACAUAAAUCUUCGUAUUCAAACCUGUGCGUGGGUGAUAAUGAUGCGCAAACAUAUGUCUGGGUAUACCCAAGAUACCUUUCUCUGUUUCUUCACUCUCUCUCUUUCUCUCUCUCUGUGAGUGUAUUACAGGAAAACAGUGACUAAUGUCUGCCCUCUUCUCUUCCGUAAGCUGAUAUGUCCCUAAGGCGAAUGAGAGAAGGCACCAGCCUUUUUCUCUGCCCAAAGAUGCUUCAGAGGCACUGCAAAGACCGCACAUGAACCUCUCAGGAUGGCUCACAUGGACUUCCACGAUCGUGAACUUAAUCGCGCACGUGAACGUCCACUCUUCUGUGCACUCAGAGCGUCUAUCUCUGAAUGCCGUAAGGUUAACUUGGCGCCCAUUACCUAACCCGCAACAUCCAGGGGAGAUGACCCGUGUAGUGCUCAGACAACGCAGGCUGAAACUGGUAGUGCAGCAUUACUCACUCUGAGUAAACAUGGGAAUAGUAACAGGAGUGAAACACAUUCAAACCGAAUGAUGCUCACAUAGCCAUGGUGAUGACGUUAUUAGUGUGUAUAGGGACAAGCAUUGAUAAGGGGUAUUGAAAACAUAGGCUCAUUUUAAUGCAAAACUAAUUGGGGAUGUUCUGGGUCUUCUUAUCCAAACGCAUGAAUGCCCUUUCCUUGAGCGUGAGUACUGCUUUUUUAGGUUGAACAUACUCUCUGUGGUCAUGGACAGGGUCUCAGAAGGUGACACUUAAUUUACCACUCUCAUAAUGGGCGCAGUGUCUGCUGCAUACAUAAUUAAUCAAUCACUGUUUUCCACAUUGAUAACAGCACGACCCCGGCCCUCACCUCGUCUUUGAAUACUGAUUGCCGCUUACAAUUACUGCGGGGCAUGUAGCUUAGAGACUCAGACACAAGAGGUAGUGUUUCAUUCGAGGAACCAAAACAAUCCUCAGCUGAUAAGGCUAGAGAAGAGUUAGCACGAGCCUCACAACCAGGUAUCACAACAGUACAGAUACAUUAAAGUAUCUUAAACUCUCCAAACAUACCUUCACAAACGCAUU